UGUACUCUUAGAGAGUUUGAACUCUCAAGACUUUGCUUAGAGUAAGAUGAUUAGUAAAACAAUAAGUAAAUAUGUAAUACUAAAAUAAACAAAGCAGAAAGUAAAGAGUAGAGUUUAAGAGAGAUCACACAAAGAAGUUAUCCUGGUUCCCCCAAUAUGGGUUAGUCCAGUCCCCACAGCUUUUGUGAGAUUAUCCACUAGUUCUUGGGAGUUUCUUCCUCCUCUUUGCAAUGUGCAAAACAAUAUGUAU
This 250-nucleotide long non-coding RNA is filed under the name Medicago truncatula (barrel medic). RNAcentral describes it as "long non-coding RNA (MTRU_LNC007224)". The record is from RNAcentral. Lineage: Eukaryota; Viridiplantae; Streptophyta; Magnoliopsida; Fabales; Fabaceae.